CCCCUCCCCCUCCUCCUCCUUCCCUCUGCCUUUUCCCUGUUCCUGCUGCUAUCAUCCCGUGAUCUUUACUAACAGUAGCGACUUACUACUUACUAAGAGGUGUAUGCUGGGCAACUCUUUCCUCAUCCUACACAAGAACCUGGACUGUUUUUGGCCCAUUCAACUGUAACAACUUCCUGCUGGUGGAAUUUCCUGGCCAUAUGUCUACUCCUGAUAAAUUUCUGGGAUGUGGGACUGCCUACCAGGAUCGAGGUGGAGGGGUUGUACCUAUAAGAAGCACUUGCUUGAUGGAGAUGCAGUAAGGAGUAAAUGAGCCGAUCCCUGCAUAAACUCAGUAACAAGCUUGCAAACAAUUCCAGUGGAAGGAAUUGUCCUAUUGGGGAUCUCACACCAAACUGGGGUGCUUGCCAGAUUCCUUUGGUGACCCCAGGGCUACCAGUGGACUCCAGCUUUUCACAUCCGGUCAUGUUCCUAAAGCAUCUGCACCUUCUGAUGAGCUUUAGGUCUUCAGAUAGCAUCACUUACAUUCAUGAGUUAAAACUUCCUUAUGGCAAUACGUCUCCACAGAUGCAUUUCCAUUGGCCUAAACAUUACUGGCACAUGGUACCAGUUUGACUAAAUUGUAUUUUUUCUAUUUUUGAUAUAGUGCCUUACCCAAGAUUUUAAAUGUUGUCUAAUGAGUUUUGCUUGUGAAAUACCAAAGCUUUCCAGAUCUGAGAUGUGCGGUUGGUCUGAAAUGGAUGGUGUGAAUGAUGUGAAUCCACAGAUCCACAAUGCGGAACAUAGAGGAGACUCAUAAGACACAUGAGGCCAAACUGGGCACACAGAAUUUGUAAGGAGAUAUCAUUGUGUCUCCCAAGAGCAAUUGCUGAGCUUGCAAUGUAAGGAAAAACAAAUCCACUAAGGAGAAAUAAAAAGGUGAUAAAAUCUGCCCUGUCAAUUAAAUCAUGCUCUGGCUUGCUCUUUCUCUGUUUCUCCUUCUCUCUGCUCCUCCUCUUCCUCCUUCCCUUUGUUUCUUUUCCCAGCAUAAAGAAAAGAGAUAAAAUAUUCAGGAUUUGAUAUGCUAAUAGUCUCCAAGAU
This 1080-nucleotide long non-coding RNA is filed under the name Heterocephalus glaber (naked mole-rat). RNAcentral describes it as "lncRNA (ENSHGLG00100041345.1)". The record is from RNAcentral. Lineage: Eukaryota; Metazoa; Chordata; Mammalia; Rodentia; Bathyergidae.